This 483-nucleotide ribosomal RNA is filed under the name uncultured bacterium. Its description in RNAcentral is "partial 16S ribosomal RNA". It matches the Rfam family "Bacterial small subunit ribosomal RNA", at positions 30 to 506 of the family's 1533-position model. The record is from RNAcentral.
AUUGAACGCUGGCGGCAGGCCUAACACAUGCAAGUCGAGCGGAUGAAGGGAGCUUGCUCCUGGAUUCAGCGGCGGACGGGUGAGUAAUGCCUAGGAAUCUGCCUGGUAGUGGGGGAUAACGUCCGGAAACGGGCGCUAAUACCGCAUACGUCCUGAGGGAGAAAGUGGGGGAUCUUCGGACCUCACGCUAUCAGAUGAGCCUAGGUCGGAUUAGCUAGUUGGUGGGGUAAAGGCCUACCAAGGCGACGAUCCGUAACUGGUCUGAGAGGAUGAUCAGUCACACGGGAACUGAGACACGGUCCAGACUCCUACGGGAGGCAGCAGUGGGGAAUUUUGGACAAUGGGCGAAAGCCUGAUCCAGCCAUGCCGGGUGUGUGAAGAAGGUCUUCGGAUUUUAAAGCACUUUAAGUUGGGAGGAAGGGCAGUAAGUUAAUACCUUGCUGUUUUGACGUUACCAACAGAAUAAGCACCGGCUAACUUCGU